CCUACGGGAGGCAGCAGUGGGGAAUAUUGCACAAUGGGGGUAACCCGGAUGCAGCGACGCCGCGUGAGUGAAGAAGUAAUUCGUUAUGUAAAGCCUUAUCAGCAGGGAAGCAAAUGACGGUACCUGUGUAAGAACUCCCGGCGAACUACGUGCCAGCAGCCGCGGUAACACGUAGGGCGGAAGCGUUAUCCGGAUUUAUUGGGUGUAAAGGGGGCGUAGACGGCAGUGCAAGUCUGGUGUGAAAGGCGGGGGCUCAACCCCCGGACUGCUCUGGAAACUGUCCGGCCGGAGUGCAGGAGAGGUAAGUGGAAUGCGUGGUGUAGCGGUGAAAUGCGUAGAUAUUAGGAGGAACACCAGUGGCGAAGGCGGCUUACUGGACUGUAACUGACGUUGAGGCUCGAAAGCGUGGGGAGCGAACAGGAUUAGAUACCCGAGUAGUC
This 440-nucleotide ribosomal RNA is filed under the name uncultured bacterium. Its description in RNAcentral is "partial 16S ribosomal RNA". It matches the Rfam family "Bacterial small subunit ribosomal RNA", at positions 338 to 795 of the family's 1533-position model. The record is from RNAcentral.